GGUUACAUCUCAAAGCCAGUAACCAAAGGUGUAUACAAUUCAACAUCCAAAACAGCACACACGUCGAUAUACAGUAAGAAUCAAGCCUCAAAUUACAAGUCAAAAUGUAUUUAAUAUUGACUUUUUUUAAAUGAAGCAGUUCCACUGGGUAUCACUGCUCACCUCAGCUGUUUUCAAACUCAACACAACUAAAACUGCAGCUUCUAAUCGUAU
Molecule: unclassified non-coding RNA, 213 nt
Filed under: Hevea brasiliensis (rubber tree)
Lineage: Eukaryota; Viridiplantae; Streptophyta; Magnoliopsida; Malpighiales; Euphorbiaceae
Source: RNAcentral